RNAcentral lists this ribosomal RNA (433 nucleotides) under uncultured bacterium. Its description in RNAcentral is "partial 16S ribosomal RNA". It matches the Rfam family "Bacterial small subunit ribosomal RNA", at positions 29 to 507 of the family's 1533-position model. The record is from RNAcentral.
AACGAACGCUGGCGGCAUGCCUAACACAUGCAAGUCGAACGAUGCCUUCGGGCCUAGUGUCGCACGGGUGCGUAACGCGUGGGAAUCUGCCUUUCGGUUCGGAAUAACUCAGUGAAACUUGAGCUAAUACCGGAUAACGUCGCAAGACCAAAGAUUUAUCACCGAAAGAUGAGCCCGCGUAGGAUUAGCUAGUUGGUGAGGUAAAGGCUCACCAAGGCGACGAUCCUUAGCUGGUCUGAGAGGAUGAUCAGCCACACUGGGACUGAGACACGGACCAGACUCCUACGGGAGGCAGCAGUGGGGAAUAUUGGACAAUGGGCGAAAGCGUGAUCCAGCAAUGCCGGGUGAGUGAGGAAGGCCUUAGGGUUGUAAAGCUCUUUUACCCGGGAAGAUAAUGACGGUACCGGGAGAAUAAGCCCCGGCUAACUCCGUG